AGCGAACGCUGGCGGCAGGCCUAACACAUGCAAGUCGAACGAACCUUUCGGGGUUAGUGGCGGACGGGUGAGUAAUACGUGGGAACGUGCCUUUAGGUUCGGAAUAACUCAGGGAAACUUGUGCUAAUUCCGAAUGUGCCCUUCGGGGGAAAGAUUUAUCGCCUUUAGAGCGGCCCGCGUCUGAUUAGCUAGUUGGUUGAGGUAAUGGCUCACCAAGGCGACGAUCAGUAGCUGGUCUGAGAGGAUGAUCAGCCACAUUGGGACUGAGACACGGCCCAAACUCCUACGGGAGGCAGCAGUGGGGAAUCUUGCGCAAUGGGCGAAAGCCUGACGCAGCCAUGCCGCGUGAAUGAUGAAGGUCUUAGGAUUGUAAAAUUCUUUCACCGGGGACGAUAAUGACGGUACCCGGAGAAGAAGCCCCGGCUAACUUCGUG
RNAcentral lists this ribosomal RNA (434 nucleotides) under uncultured bacterium. RNAcentral describes it as "partial 16S ribosomal RNA". It matches the Rfam family "Bacterial small subunit ribosomal RNA", at positions 29 to 507 of the family's 1533-position model. The record is from RNAcentral.